This 429-nucleotide ribosomal RNA is filed under the name Bacteroidota bacterium. Its description in RNAcentral is "Bacteroidetes bacterium partial 16S ribosomal RNA". It matches the Rfam family "Bacterial small subunit ribosomal RNA", at positions 355 to 776 of the family's 1533-position model. The record is from RNAcentral. Lineage: Bacteria; Pseudomonadati; Bacteroidota.
UAAGGAAUCUUACGCAAUGUACGCAAGUCUGACGGAGCAAAGCAGCGUGAGUGAAGAAGGAUUUCGGUUCGUAAAACUCUGUUGUUAGAGAAGAACAGCGCAUAGAGUAACUGUUAUGCGUGUGACGGUAUCUAACCAGAAAGCUAUGGCUAACUACGUGCCUGCAGCCGCGGUAAUACGUAGGUGGCAAGCGUUGUCCGGAAUUAUUGGGCGUAAAGCGAGCGCAGGCGGUCAAUUAAGUCUUAUGUGAAAGCCCCCGUCUCAACCGUGGUGGUUCAUUGGAAGCUGGUUGACUUGAGUGCUGAAGAGGAGAGUGGAAUUCCAUGUGUAGCUGUAAAAUGCGUAGAUAUAUGGAGGAACACCAGUGGCGCAGGCGACUCUCUGGUCUGUAACUGCCGCUGAAGCUCGAAAGCGUGGGUAGCAAGCAGG